This 450-nucleotide ribosomal RNA is filed under the name uncultured bacterium. Its description in RNAcentral is "partial 16S ribosomal RNA". It matches the Rfam family "Bacterial small subunit ribosomal RNA", at positions 354 to 796 of the family's 1533-position model. The record is from RNAcentral.
GUGGGGAAUUUUGGACAAUGGGCGCAAGCCUGAUCCAGCAAUGCCGCGUGCAGGAAGAAGGCCUUCGGGUUGUAAACUGCUUUUGUACGGAACGAAACGGUCCUGGUUAAUACCUGGGGCUAAUGACGGUACCGUAAGAAUAAGCACCGGCUAACUACGUGCCAGCAGCCGCGGUAAUACGUAGGGUGCGAGCGUUAAUCGGAAUUACUGGGCGUAAAGCGUGCGCAGGCGGUGCUGUAAGACAGGCGUGAAAUCCCCGGGCUCAACCUGGGAAUUGCGCUUGGGACUGCAGUGCUGGAGUACGGCAGAGGGGGAUGGAAUUCCGCGUGUAGCAGUGAAAUGCGUAGAUAUGCGGAGGAACACCGAUGGCGAAGGCAGUCCCCUGGGCCUGUACUGACGCUCAUGCACGAAAGCGUGGGGAGCAAACAGGAUUAGAAACCCCAGUAGUCC